Molecule: long non-coding RNA, 238 nt
Filed under: Elaeis guineensis (African oil palm)
Lineage: Eukaryota; Viridiplantae; Streptophyta; Magnoliopsida; Arecales; Arecaceae
Description: long non-coding RNA (EGUI_LNC074112)
Source: RNAcentral
ACAGCCGUACACGUGUCCGGCCUCUACGGGUAUCCACACAGUCUUUGUGUUGAUCGAUCUCUUCGAGAGAGCUAGCUCGCGAAGAUAUCAUGCUUUGGUUGAUCUAAGAGAAACACAAAGAAGAUGAAGAAUAAGGAGACCCUCUUCUUUUCUUCUUAGAUCCAUACCCACACAUCAGAUCUCUACAAUAGAGAUCAAGAGAAGAAUCCUUUCUUCUCCAUUCUUCCACGCAUAAGAG